This is a non-coding RNA of Schistosoma margrebowiei, 46 nucleotides long. The record is from Rfam. Lineage: Eukaryota; Metazoa; Platyhelminthes; Trematoda; Strigeidida; Schistosomatidae.
GCACUGCUGAGGAGUCCCAAAAUAAAACGAAACGGCCGUCCAGUGC